AGGAGGAUUGAGAAAGUUUGGUAGCCAGACUGUUGCUGCCACAACUGGUUAUUCCCUCCAAGAGCAAUGACAAACACUCU
Alosa alosa (allis shad) is the source of this 80-nucleotide small nucleolar RNA. RefSeq annotates it as small nucleolar RNA SNORA47. The record is from RefSeq and is a predicted model, not a curated record. The transcript has a single exon. NCBI's taxonomy places the organism in Eukaryota, Metazoa, Chordata, Actinopteri, Clupeiformes, Clupeidae.